UCACCUGAUUGUAGCUGCCUCUUGUGCGC
This 29-nucleotide small RNA is filed under the name Bombyx mori (domestic silkworm). RNAcentral's name for it is "ovarian small RNA-25200". The record is from RNAcentral. Lineage: Eukaryota; Metazoa; Arthropoda; Insecta; Lepidoptera; Bombycidae.